GUGCUCUAAUUUGUUUCUCAAAAGCCUUGAUUUGUCUAGAAGCAUCAUCUAAUUCUCGUCGUGCAGAACUGGCCUCCUCCAGUUGCUGUUCCAGCUGACCGGAAUCUAAAAAGAAAAGCUUUUAAUUUCUAGAUCUUUGCUUGCUGUUAUUGGACCAUCCACAGUUGAAUACUGUAAAGCCUGGACUGUCUGGGUGGAUUCUAAAAACAAAGAAGAGUACCAUGAGAUAAGCCUUCCACACUCCCCCAAUAUAUUCUUUAAGAUGUCAGAAGAAAGUGACACUAUUGAUAAGUGGAGAAGUGCACAAAAUUGUCUCUAUACCAAUGGUAGGAGACUGGAAAAAACCAGGAGGAAUUGAAAAUUCAACUGACGAGAAGAAAUUUGAUACACUUGACCUUACUGAUUCCAGCUGCUUUAAUUGGAAUGUUAAAAGCAUUGAUUAUAACCUGUUCAGGAAAGAUAGCACAGGUGUGGGGGGGGGGGAGUGACACUGUACACUAAGGGCACAAUUACAAGUAAUUGGUAACUCAGAAGCACAUGAUCUUUAAUGCAUAUGGAUCAAGGUGUUAACCAGCUGACCAUCAAAUCAAAGUAGAGCUCAGGAUGAGUUACUCUGUAAACACCUGUCUGUAAUGUGUGUAUGGGGGGAAAUUGUGUUGUUACAAGGCACUUCAAUUUGUUAAAUGCAUGCUAGAGGUCUAAUGCAGCCAGUAGUAAAACAUCAUUAGAGUUUCUAAAAAUUAUAGAUGAUAAUUUUCUGACACAAAAAAUAUUACAUCCAACAUGAGGGAAGGACAUCAUUAUGAUGGAUAAAGAUGAAUUAAUCACUGGACCAAAAGUUGGUGGUUGCCUAGGGACCAGUGAUUAUGAACUGAUUACAUUCAAUGUGGGCAAAAAGAAGACAGUUCCAACCAGUAAUAUAUACACUUGGUGCUUCAAAAGGGGUAAUUCCCCAAAGCUCAAGAAAAUUAUGAGUGAAACUGAUUGAGAGGAAAAGCUUAGACAAAAAAUGUGAAUGAAAAUUGGGAGAUUUUUGAAGCAGAGUUUAUUAGAUGGCUAAAAGCCAUGAUUCCACAAUCAAACAUCUUCAACUAAAAGCCCAUCCUGGUUGGUGGGUGAGGGAAGACAGAAAUUAUAAAUAAAAAAACCAAUGUCUACUAAAUUGAAAAAGGGGAAAUAGAUAACAAUUGAUAUAAAUUAGAAGUUAUGAUGUUCAGAAAUUGACAAGGAAAGUUAACAACAUCAGGGAAAAAUCCAUAAAUAGCAGGGCUAAGGACAAAAAGGUUUUUAAAAGUAUACUAGGGAACAAAACAGAUGGCAAAAUGUUAAUCAUGAAGAAAAGGCAGAAGUGUUCAAUUAAUAUUUUUGUUCUGUAUUGGAAAGAAACAGGAUGGUGUGGUUGUAUCACAUGGGGAUGAUGAAGUACUAUCCAGUCCAUUAAUAACAGAAGUUACACAGUAUCUAAUACAGUGCAACAGAGUGAACUGUCACAUGGUGGGAGGAAAGGAAAACAAAA
Long non-coding RNA from Chrysemys picta bellii (western painted turtle), 1516 nucleotides. RefSeq lists it as uncharacterized. The record is from RefSeq and is a predicted model, not a curated record. Lineage: Eukaryota; Metazoa; Chordata; Testudines; Emydidae.